CUAAUCUAAGAAAGCGAUUAAAAUGUAGUAAACUGAUAUGUGAAUGAGUGUAUUGGAAUCUCGAAUCCCCCUAUUGCCAUUUAUUCCAAUUCUUAAUUCAUAAUUUAGAUAAUUUCAUGCAUUCACGAUAAUCGAUAAUCCACUUUUGUUCAAUAUUCUUUUCCAAGAUAUAUUAAACCUAUGUUUAACACGACCCGAUCCUAUUCCUAGUCCGAAUUCAUAUGAAAAACAUGCAUUGAUUCACA
This 245-nucleotide long non-coding RNA is filed under the name Olea europaea (common olive). Its description in RNAcentral is "long non-coding RNA (OEUR_LNC009546)". The record is from RNAcentral. Lineage: Eukaryota; Viridiplantae; Streptophyta; Magnoliopsida; Lamiales; Oleaceae.